RNAcentral lists this ribosomal RNA (2514 nucleotides) under Triticum aestivum (bread wheat). Its description in RNAcentral is "partial small subunit ribosomal RNA". Lineage: Eukaryota; Viridiplantae; Streptophyta; Magnoliopsida; Poales; Poaceae. The record is from RNAcentral.
AUGCAGGUCGCGACCGGGGCCCUGAGCCCCCUCCUCCACAAGCUCGGGGACCUGCUCGUGGCCGAGCUCACCCUGAGCAGCCGCGUGAAGAAGGGCGUCCAGUCCCUCACCACGGAGCUGGAGCUGAUGUACGUCGUCCUCUCCAAGGUCGGCGACGUGCCGGCGGACGAGCUCCACCCGCAGGUCCGGAUCUGGGCGGGCAAGGUCCGGGAGCUCUCCUACAACAUGGAGGACGCCGUGGACGCCUAUAUGGUCCGGGUGUGCGACGGCCGCCAAGUUGAACUCGGCCCCAACAACUUGAAGAACAGAGUCAAGAAGUUCUUUAAGAGGACCAAGAAGUUGUUCACCAAUGGCAAGGCUCUGCAUCAGAUCUCCGGCGCCAUCCACGACGCCCAGGAGCUCGCCAACCAGCUGGGUGAGCUCCGUCAGAGGUACGAUCUUGUGGCAUCCACGGAUGGUGUAGCGAAUGCCAUUGAUCCUCGCCUCAAGGCUGUGUACAGGGAUGUCACAGAGCUUGUAGGCAUUGAGGAUAGGCGGGAUGAGGUGAUUGAGAAGCUUUUUAAUGGGGAUGACAUGUCUAAGCAGCAGCUCAAGACACUCUCUAUUGUUGGAUUUGGUGGAUUGGGCAAGACAACGCUUACCAAAGCAGUGUAUGACAAGAUCAUAAAGCAGUUCGACUGUGGCGUGUUUGUUUCGGUGUCACGGAAUCCCGACAUAACAAAGAUUUUCAAGAAUAUGUUGUAUGGACUAGACAGUAGUAAGUUUGCGAACAUCAACGAAGCCAUUAGGGACCAUGAACAACUCAUGAAUGAGCUGAGAGUGUUUCUUCAGGAUAAGAGGUACUUAAUUGUCAUUGAUGACAUUUGGAGUGAGGAUGCAUGGGAAAUUAUCAAGUGUGCUUUGCCUAAAAGCGAUCUUGGUAGUCGAGUAAUAAUAACAACUCGCAUAACCAGUGUCUCCGAAGCAUGUUGCCCAUCUUGUGAUGAUAUUAUUCAUAAGAUGAAAUCUCUUGAUAAUGAUGACUCCAAAAGGCUCUUCUACAAAAGAAUAUUCCCUCAAGGAAGUGAAUGUCCUGUUGAACUGGAGCAAGUAUCUAGAGAGAUUUUGAAGAAAUGUGGUGGCGUGCCACUAGCCAUCAUUACUAUAGCCAGUCUGUUAGCCAGUAAUGAUCAGCAGAUAAAGCCAAAGUAUCAAUGGGAUAACUUACUGAGUUCUAUUGGUCGUGGACUUGAAGAAGGUGGUACUGCGAAGGAUAUGCAGAGAAUACUAUCCUUUAGUUAUUAUGAUCUACCUUGUUAUCUAAGGACUUGUUUAUUAUAUCUCAGUAUAUUUCCAGAAGAUUUUGAGAUAGAUAGAGACCGGUUGAUAUGGAAGUGGAUAGCCGAAGGCUUUAUCCAAGGUGGAGAACAAGACAUUAGACUAUUUGAGCUUGGAGAGAGAUACUUCACUGAGCUGAUAAACAGAAACUUGAUCCAGCCAUCAUAUGUUGAUUUUCAUGGUAGGGUGCGAAGUUGUCACGUACAUGAUAUGGUACUUGAUCUCAUAUGUUCUCUAUCUACCGUAGAAAAUUUUGUUACUAUAUUGGAUGGUACUAAGCAAAGGAAAAGUAAUUCAGAUAGCAUGGUUCGCAGGGUAUCAUUUCAGAAUAGCAUGUCAAAGCACACCACCCAUCAGGUCAAUGCCAUAAGUAUGUCAAAGUUAAGGUCUGUUACUCUCUUUAGAACUGGUGUUGAUAUGAUCCAGACUCUUUCAAACUUCCAUAUUCUGCGUGUAUUGGAUUUAGAAGGUUGUAAUCUUCAGAAAAGCAGCCACCAGAUUGAUCUUAGGUAUGCUGAGAAUUUAUUACAUCUGAGGUACCUCGGGCUAGAAGGUACAUUUGUUGACGUUCUGCCCAUGGGAAUAGGAAAGCUGCAAUUUUUGCAAACAAUGAACUUAAGAACGUGUAUGGUGAUGCCAUCCAGUGUUGGUCGGCUAGGACAUUUAAUGUGCCUCUAUGUUGAUAUUACAGUGAGAUUACCAGUUGAGAUAGGGAAUUUGGUGUCCUUAGAAGAGCUGAAUGAAGUUAUGGUGGGUGGUACUGAUGCGAUUGAGAAAGAACUAGGAAAGCUGGCGGAGCUGAGUGUGCUUGGUCUUUGGUGGGAGGGAGACGACGAGAGUGUUUGUAAUUCUUUGGUGGUGUCCUUGGCCAAUCUGUGGAAAUUGCAUAAAUUAACUAGUUUUCUUUGUGGGGAUGCAAGGUUUGAUGACAGCUGGGACAGAUGGGUGCCCCCUCCACACCUCCACGCCUUUUAUUUUUAUCACUGUACCUCAACAUUGCCUAGAUGUUUUAAUUCAUCAUUGUUUCCCGUUCUCUCCUGUUUGCAUGUAGUAGUGGAUAGAGUGAGGCUGGAGGUCGACAUUCAGAUCCUUGGGAAAUUUCCCGCUCUUCGUUCUCUCUGGCUGGGAACCACCAAAGACCAAUGCACACUUCUGUCGAAAGGUUCAUCAUUGGCAAUGAUGCAUUCCCCUUCCUGA